CGAUGCAUUAGUCGAUGCCCCGGUAGCUCAGUGGUAGAGCAGCUGCAUUUGUGUGAGCAAGACCGAGCACCACUGUCAGCGUUGUUGCAGGUUCGAAUCCUGCUCUGUGGCUA
This is a non-coding RNA of Meloidogyne enterolobii, 113 nucleotides long. The record is from the annotation of a GenBank genome assembly. Lineage: Eukaryota; Metazoa; Nematoda; Chromadorea; Rhabditida; Meloidogynidae.